UGGUGCAUGGUUGUCGUCAGCUCGUGUCGUGAGAUGUUGGGUUAAGUCCCGCAACGAGCGCAACCCUUGUGUUUAGUUGCAAACAGGUCAAGCUGUGCACUCUAGACAGACUGCCGUGGACAACACGGAGGAAGGUGGGGAUGACGUCAAAUCAUCAUGCCCCUUAUGAUCUGGGCUACACACGUGCUACAAUGGCCGGUACAACGGGCAGCGAAGGAGCGAUCCGGAGCGAAUCCUAAAAAGCCGGUCCCAGUUCGGAUUGCAGGCUGAAACUCGCCUACAUGAAGUUGGAGUUGCUAGUAAUCGCGAAUCAGAAUGUCGCGGUGAAUGCGUUCCCGGGUCUU
This 344-nucleotide ribosomal RNA is filed under the name uncultured Fusibacter sp. RNAcentral's name for it is "bacterial SSU rRNA". It matches the Rfam family "Bacterial small subunit ribosomal RNA", at positions 1039 to 1382 of the family's 1533-position model. Lineage: Bacteria; Bacillati; Bacillota; Clostridia; Eubacteriales; Fusibacteraceae. The record is from RNAcentral.